RNAcentral lists this ribosomal RNA (238 nucleotides) under uncultured bacterium. Its description in RNAcentral is "partial 16S ribosomal RNA". It matches the Rfam family "Bacterial small subunit ribosomal RNA", at positions 95 to 334 of the family's 1533-position model. The record is from RNAcentral.
CCGGCGCACGGGUGAGUAACGCGUAUGCAACCUGCCUGAUACCGGGGUAUAGCCCAUGGAAACGUGGAUUAACACCCCAUAGUACUUUUAUCCUGCAUGGGAUGUGAGUUAAAUGCUCAAGGUAUCGGAUGGGCAUGCGUCCUAUUAGUUAGUUGGCGGGGUAACAGCCCACCAAGACGAUGAUAGGUAGGGGUUCUGAGAGGAAGGUCCCCCACAUUGGAACUGAGACACGGUCCAA